RNAcentral lists this ribosomal RNA (485 nucleotides) under uncultured bacterium. RNAcentral's name for it is "partial 16S ribosomal RNA". It matches the Rfam family "Bacterial small subunit ribosomal RNA", at positions 28 to 523 of the family's 1533-position model. The record is from RNAcentral.
GACGAACGCUGGCGGCGUGCUUAACACAUGCAAGUCGAACGAGGUCCAUGGAGUAGCAAUACUCCGGAGGACCUAGUGGCGAACGGGUGCGUAACACGUGAGGGACUUACCCCGGUCUCUGGGAUAACAGUUGGAAACGACUGCUAAUACCGGAUGACGUCGGAGCGUCGCAUGGCGCGCUGACGAAAGGGUUACUGGAGCGGGAGAGCCUCGCGGCCUAUCAGCUUGUUGGUGGGGUAACGGCCUACCAAGGCAUCGACGGGUAGCUGGUCUGAGAGGAUGAUCAGCCACACUGGGACUGAGACACGGCCCAGACUCCUACGGGAGGCAGCAGUGGGGAAUCUUGCGCAAUGGGCGAAAGCCUGACGCAGCAACGCCGCGUGCGGGAAGAAGGCUCUCGGGUUGUAAACCGCUUUCAGCAGGAACGAAAAUGACGGUACCUGCAGAAGAAGGUGCGGCCAACUACGUGCCAGCAGCCGCAGUAA